CCUUUGACGUUAGCGGCGGACGGGUGAGUAACACGUGGGUAACCUACCUAUAAGACUGGAAUAACUCCGGGAAACCGGGGCUAAUGCCGGAUAACAUAUAGAACCGCAUGGUUCUAUAGUGAAAGAUGGUUUUGCUAUCACUUAUAGAUGGACCCGCGCCGUAUUAGCUAGUUGGUAAGGUAAUGGCUUACCAAGGCGACGAUACGUAGCCGACCUGAGAGGGUGAUCGGCCACACUGGAACUGAGACACGGUCCAGACUCCUACGGGAGGCAGCAGUAGGGAAUCUUCCGCAAUGGGCGAAAGCCUGACGGAGCAACGCCGCGUGAGUGAUGAAGGGUUUCGGCUCGUAAAACUCUGUUAUUAGGGAAGAACAUAUGUGUAAGUAACUGUGCACAUCUUGACGGUACCUAAUCAGAAAGCCACGGCUAACUACGUGCCAGCAGCCGCGGUAAUACGUAGGUGGCAAGCGUUAUCCGGAAUUAUUGGGCGUAAAGCGCGCG
This 501-nucleotide ribosomal RNA is filed under the name Staphylococcus gallinarum. RNAcentral's name for it is "bacterial SSU rRNA". It matches the Rfam family "Bacterial small subunit ribosomal RNA", at positions 83 to 571 of the family's 1533-position model. The record is from RNAcentral. Lineage: Bacteria; Bacillati; Bacillota; Bacilli; Caryophanales; Staphylococcaceae.